Long non-coding RNA from Mauremys mutica (yellowpond turtle), 629 nucleotides. RefSeq lists it as uncharacterized. The transcript is spliced from 3 exons. The record is from RefSeq and is a predicted model, not a curated record. NCBI's taxonomy places the organism in Eukaryota, Metazoa, Chordata, Testudines, Geoemydidae.
UGGAGCCUGGUUCUGGGCCAUUGUAAGGGCUCUGGUUCUUUUGGUUUUAGGCCUUUGGCGAGCUGUUCACAGAGGAGCAGAAAAGAUCUUUCCUCCAGGAGGGCCUGCUGGCCAUUCACCACCCCCUCCUCCGCGUCAGCCAGGCUGGCCUGGUGCUGACGUAUUCCAUCCUGGGGGAAGCCGGCCAGCUGCUAGAGGACGAGGAGGACAUCGCAGCCUACAUAAAGAUCCAGCUGUUUAACAUCAGGGUCUUGGGCCAGGUGCCCGACGCCCUGCAGGGGCUGUGCUCCUUGGGGCAGCACUGAAGACCCCCCCCCUCGCAUGACCAGCUCGGACCCCCUGCCGCAGCCUCGCUCCAGGCCCUCCACCCACCCGCUCCAGCCCUGCCACCUCCUUCUCCUCCUGAUCUUCCCCAACCCCUUCAAUUUUGACUGCAUGGCUUCGAUCUUUGCAUGGAUAUGGACUUUGCCUCGUAUUUCUGACCACCCGGCUUCGACCUCCGGCCUGGACAUGGACACUGGCUCCCGUUCUGCCUGCAAACACUCAACACCCGGCAGCAGUAGACAGGCCCCACCAUUAAUCAAACCCUAACCCCGCCCCAUGACCCCUUAGUCCCUCCCACCUGUCUC